CCUCCUUUCUAAGGAUGCUAGAAGUCAUUGAAUUCGUUCAAUAUUUCCGGCUCACCUUACAAAACUACCCGGCGUUAAGUUGGCGCCGCCUUCGCAUCUCUUUCCAUGGCCACCUGGAUCGGCCGACAGCAUCUGCUUUGCUAUUAAUUAGCUACAAUAGCAUUCGGGCCUGUAGCUCAGUCGGUUAGAGCGCACGCCUGAUAAGCGUGAGGUCGGUAGUUCGAAUCUACCCAGGCCCACCAGAUGAGGCACUUCUUUCGCCGAGUAUCCGGUGCCGGGGGUGUAGCUCAGCUGGGAGAGCACCUGCUUUGCAAGCAGGGGGUCGUCGGUUCGAGUCCGAUCACCUCCACCAGAUGGAGCUGACAUGUUCCAAGUGGCCAUCAUGAGUUUUACCGCCCGCCCGGUUAUGGCGCGGGCAAGGCUCUAUACAUCGUGAAGAGAAAUGCGAAUCGAACGCUUUCGAGCGGUGCGGAAUUCCCGAUCAGGAGGAACGUAUCAGGAGUGUUCGACGAUCUGACUGU
RNAcentral lists this transfer RNA (521 nucleotides) under uncultured Alphaproteobacteria bacterium. RNAcentral's name for it is "partial 16S-23S ribosomal RNA intergenic spacer". The stretch from base 166 to 239 matches the Rfam family "tRNA". Lineage: Bacteria; Pseudomonadati; Pseudomonadota; Alphaproteobacteria. The record is from RNAcentral.